This 468-nucleotide ribosomal RNA is filed under the name uncultured bacterium. RNAcentral describes it as "partial 16S ribosomal RNA". It matches the Rfam family "Bacterial small subunit ribosomal RNA", at positions 28 to 507 of the family's 1533-position model. The record is from RNAcentral.
GACGAACGCUGGCGGCGUGCUUAACACAUGCAAGUCGAACGGAAAGGCCCUGCUCUUGUGGGGUGCUCGAGUGGCGAACGGGUGAGUAACACGCGAGUAACCUGCACUUGACUUUGGGAUAAAUUCAGGAAAAUGGGGAUAUUACCGGAUAGGAGCUUCUGAUGCAUGGGGGGGGUUGGAAAGUUUCGGCGGUGGGGGAUGGACUCGCGGCUUAUCAGCUGGUUGGUGGGGUAGUGGCUUACCAAGGCUUUGACGGGUAGGCGGCCUGGGAGGGUGACCGGCCACAUUGGGACUGCGAUACGGCCCAGACUCCUACGGGAGGCAGAAGUGGGGAAUAUUGCACAAUGGGCGGAAGCCUGAUGCAGCAACGCCGCGUGCGUGAUGACGGCCUUCGGGUUGUAAACCGCUUUCGCCUGUGACGAAGCGUGAGUGACGGUAAUGGGUAAAGAAGCACCGGCUAACUACGUG